CCACUUAAACCAAAUAAAGAUGCACAGUAAUCUCAAAUUGUUAAACAUACCUGCGAACAAGGCCAUUGGGGUCUCUUUCAACAUGAACAAUGUUUUCUGUCCGACCCAGAUCAACUGACCUAUUUAUGCCAUGGCCACUAGCAUUGUCCUCUGUGCUGUCUCCCGAUGACUCAACUUCGUCUUCCUCAACUACAGUUUCUAGCCAAGUGUUCUGGCUGGCGAACAGCAGUGACCUCUCAACAAAUGGUUCUUCUUCAGUUACACAGUGGUCCAUUCUGACAGAGAUCGAGAACAAGGGUUACGAUGCGUAUGGGCCAGACAAGAACUAUGGUUACGAUCUGUAUGUGUGCAUAGAAGACAACAAAUCUAAUUCACGCAUACAUGCAACAGAGAAGAAGCAGCAGGAGACCGGAAGAAGAUCUCUAAGCACAGACGAUACUGUUCACCGCCGGCGUCGAGCGGAGGGGAUGUGAAGAAAAGCUUGAGGCGGAUUUAAUGGUGACUGUUUGCUGUUAACUAGGUUUGUUGCAAUCAAUUCAGCGGGCCCCCCGGCUAUUGUAUAUGCCAGUAUAGUCUGCUCGUAUACUACGUAGAUCAGU
Molecule: long non-coding RNA, 599 nt
Organism: Lolium rigidum
Lineage: Eukaryota; Viridiplantae; Streptophyta; Magnoliopsida; Poales; Poaceae
Exons: 3
Source: RefSeq, a predicted model, not a curated record